Molecule: ribosomal RNA, 273 nt
Filed under: uncultured Acidobacteriota bacterium
Lineage: Bacteria; Pseudomonadati; Acidobacteriota
Description: uncultured Acidobacteria bacterium partial 16S ribosomal RNA
Rfam family: Bacterial small subunit ribosomal RNA
Source: RNAcentral
GAGUGGCAAACGGGUGAGUAACACGUGGGUGACCUGCCUUCGAGUGGGGGAUAACGUCCCGAAAGGGACGCUAAUACCGCAUGACAUCCUGCUCUUGGACGAGCGGAAAUCAAAGCUGGGGAUCGCAAGACCUGGCGUUUGAAGAGGGGCCCGCGCCUGAUUAGUUAGUUGGUGAGGUACCGGCUCACCAAGGCGACGAUCAGUAUCCGGCCUGAGAGGGGGGGACGGACACACUGGGACUGAAGAACACGGCCCAGACUCCUACGGGAGGCA